AUAAGUGAGCCGCCUGGGGAGUACGCCCGCAAGGGUGAAACUCAAAGGAAUUGACGGGGGCCCGCACAAGCGGUGGAGCGUGUGGUUUAAUUGGAAGCUAAGCCAAGAACCUUACCAGGGCUUGACAUGCUGGUGGUACCGAGCCGAAAGGUGAGGGACCCUGCCGAAAGGUAGGGAGCCAGCACAGGUGGUGCACGGUCGUCGUCAGCUCGUGCCGUGAGGUGUUGGGUUAAGUCCCGCAACGAGCGCAACCCCUGCCCUUAGUUGCCAGCGGUUAGGCCGGGCACUCUAAGGGGACUGCCGGCGGCGAGCCGGAGGAAGGAGGGGAUGACGUCAGAUACUCGUGCCCCUUAUGUCCUGGGCGACACACGCGCUACAAUGGGGUGGACAACGGGAAGCGAGGCAGCGAUGCUGAGCAAAUCCCUGAAACCACCCCCCAGUUCAGAUUGUGGGCUGAAACCCGCCCACAUGAAGCCGGAAUCGCUAGUAAUCGCGGAUCAGCCACGCCGCGGUGAAUACGUUCCCGGGCCUUGUACACACCGCCCGUCAAGCCACCCGAGUCGCGGGCACCCGAAGACGGUGACCCUUAGGGGCGCCGUUGAGGGUGAACGUGGUGAGGGGGGCU
RNAcentral lists this ribosomal RNA (625 nucleotides) under unidentified Thermotogales OPS196B. RNAcentral describes it as "bacterial SSU rRNA". It matches the Rfam family "Bacterial small subunit ribosomal RNA", at positions 860 to 1482 of the family's 1533-position model. The record is from RNAcentral. Lineage: Bacteria; Thermotogati; Thermotogota; Thermotogae; Thermotogales.